This 71-nucleotide transfer RNA is filed under the name Phoca vitulina richardii. Its description in RNAcentral is "tRNA-Ser". Lineage: Eukaryota; Metazoa; Chordata; Mammalia; Carnivora; Phocidae. The record is from RNAcentral.
UUGAGAAAGACAUAAGGGUUAUGGUGUUGGCUUGAAACCAGUUUCAGAGGGUUCGACUCCUUCCUUCCUUA